This 405-nucleotide ribosomal RNA is filed under the name uncultured prokaryote. Its description in RNAcentral is "bacterial SSU rRNA". It matches the Rfam family "Bacterial small subunit ribosomal RNA", at positions 355 to 774 of the family's 1533-position model. The record is from RNAcentral.
UGGGGAAUAUUGGGCAAUGGGCGAAAGCCUGACCCAGCAACGCCGCGUGAGGGAAGAAGGCUUUCGGGUUGUAAACCUCUGUCGCAGGGGACGAGAGAAAUGACGGUACCCUGUGAGGAAGCCCCGGCUAACUACGUGCCAGCAGCCGCGGUAAUACGUAGGGGGCGAGCGUUGUCCGGAAUUACUGGGCGUAAAGGGUGCGUAGGCGGCAAUUUAAGUUGGAUGUGAAAUCCCCGGGCUUAACCUGGGUGGUGCAUCCAAAACUGAAUAGCUAGAGUGCAGGAGAGGGAAGCGGAAUUCCUAGUGUAGCGGUGAAAUGCGUAGAUAUUAGGAGGAACACCAGUGGCGAAGGCGGCUUUCUGGACUGUAACUGACGCUGAGGCACGAAAGCGUGGGGAGCAAACA